CAGCAGCCGCGGUAAUACGUAGGUGGCAAGCGUUGUCCGGAAUUAUUGGGCGUAAAGGGCUCGCAGGCGGUUUCUUAAGUCUGAUGUGAAAGCCCCCGGCUCAACCGGGGAGGGUCAUUGGAAACUGGGAAACUUGAGUGCAGAAGAGGAGAGUGGAAUUCCACGUGUAGCGGUGAGAUGCGUAGAGAUGUGGAGGAACACCAGUGGCGAAGGCGACUCUCUGGUCUGUAACUGACGCUGAGGAGCGAAAGCGUGGGGAGCGAACAGGAUUAGAUACCCCAGUAGUCCCUGUCUCUUAUAC
Molecule: ribosomal RNA, 301 nt
Filed under: uncultured bacterium
Lineage: Bacteria
Description: partial 16S ribosomal RNA
Rfam family: Bacterial small subunit ribosomal RNA
Source: RNAcentral